GAUGAACGCUGGCGGCGUGCCUAAUACAUGCAAGUCGAGCGAACAGAUAAGGAGCUUGCUCCUUUGACGUUAGCGGCGGACGGGUGAGUAACACGUGGGUAACCUACCUAUAAGACUGGAAUAACUCCGGGAAACCGGGGCUAAUGCCGGAUAACAUUUAGAACCGCAUGGUUCUAAAGUGAAAGAUGGUUUUGCUAUCACUUAUAGAUGGACCCGCGCCGUAUUAGCUAGUUGGUAAGGUAACGGCUUACCAAGGCAACGAUACGUAGCCGACCUGAGAGGGUGAUCGGCCACACUGGAACUGAGACACGGUCCAGACUCCUACGGGAGGCAGCAGUAGGGAAUCUUCCGCAAUGGGCGAAAGCCUGACGGAACAACGCCGCGUGAGUGAUGAAGGUCUUCGGAUCGUAAAACUCUGUUAUUAGGGAAGAACAAAUGUGUAAGUAACUGUGCACGUCUUGACGGUACCUAAUCAGAAAGCCACGGCUAACUACGUG
This 497-nucleotide ribosomal RNA is filed under the name uncultured bacterium. RNAcentral describes it as "partial 16S ribosomal RNA". It matches the Rfam family "Bacterial small subunit ribosomal RNA", at positions 28 to 507 of the family's 1533-position model. The record is from RNAcentral.